AUCAAACUUGAAGACAAGGUAUGCUAGGCAAGAAACAACUUCGUUAGUGAGUGAAGUGGACACACUUUCGGGAGUUAUCAGAUGUGAACAGCCUAACAGGAAUAUCUAUGAGUUCACAGCCAACAUGGAGUUAAACAGGCAUAAGUUUCCACUCAGCCAAUCAAAUAUAAUCUUACGUGGUUGCCAGCUGAAGAACACCGAAUGGGCAAUGGGAGUGGCAGUUUAUGCUGGUCAAGAGACCAAGGCUAUGCUAAACAGUGCGGCAUCUCCUUCCAAAAGAAGCAGGCUGGAGACCUACAUGAAUCGGGAAACACUUUGGUUGUCUGUUUUUCUUUUUGUCAUGUGCUUGGCAGUAGCAUCCGGGAUGUGUGUAUGGCUGAAAGAACAUGAGAAACAGCUUGAUACCCUGCCUUAUUACCGGAAAGUUUACUCUGAAAAAGGAACACAUCCUGGUAAACGGUAUAGAUAUUAUGGGAUUCCUAUGGAAACAUUUUUCUCUUUUUUGAGUUCCGUCAUAGUAUUCCAGAUAAUGAUACCCAUAUCUCUUUACAUCACGAUGGAGUUGGUUCGCUUG
This 574-nucleotide unclassified non-coding RNA is filed under the name Hevea brasiliensis (rubber tree). The record is from RNAcentral. Lineage: Eukaryota; Viridiplantae; Streptophyta; Magnoliopsida; Malpighiales; Euphorbiaceae.